This 209-nucleotide ribosomal RNA is filed under the name uncultured Clostridium sp. RNAcentral describes it as "partial 16S ribosomal RNA". It matches the Rfam family "Bacterial small subunit ribosomal RNA", at positions 161 to 368 of the family's 1533-position model. The record is from RNAcentral. Lineage: Bacteria; Bacillati; Bacillota; Clostridia; Eubacteriales; Clostridiaceae.
GAUUAAUACCCCAUAACAUAGCAUUAUCGCAUGAUAAAGUUAUUAAAGGAGUAAUCCGCUAUGAGAUGGACCCGCGGCGCAUUAGCUAGUUGGUGAGGUAACGGCUCACCAAGGCCACGAUGCGUAGCCGACCUGAGAGGGUGAUCGGCCACAUUGGGACUGAGACACGGCCCAGACUCCUACGGGAGGCAGCAGUGGGGAAUAUUCCA